Molecule: ribosomal RNA, 292 nt
Filed under: uncultured bacterium
Lineage: Bacteria
Description: partial 16S ribosomal RNA
Rfam family: Bacterial small subunit ribosomal RNA
Source: RNAcentral
GUGCCAGCAGCCGCGGUAAGACAGGGGGCUCGAGCGUUAAUCGGAAUCACUGGGCUUAAAGGGUGCGUAGGCGGACCGGAAAGCGUCCUGUGAAAUCCCACGGCUCAACCGUGGAACUGCAGGGCGAACUGCCGGUCUUGAGGAAGGUAGGCGCCGACGGAACAGUAGGUGGAGCGGUGAAAUGCGUAGAUAUCUACUGGAACGCCGAUGGUGAAGACGGUCGGCUGGGCCUUUCCUGACGCUGAGGCACGAAAGCGUGGGGAGCAAACAGGAUUAGAAACCCUGGUAGUCC